Long non-coding RNA from Oxyura jamaicensis (ruddy duck), 148 nucleotides. RefSeq lists it as uncharacterized. The record is from RefSeq and is a predicted model, not a curated record. The transcript is spliced from 3 exons. NCBI's taxonomy places the organism in Eukaryota, Metazoa, Chordata, Aves, Anseriformes, Anatidae.
CAGAAUGAUAGUUACACCUUUGGGAAUAGUGGAGACAUAUCUUUUUUAUCACUGACUAUUUGUAGGAUUAAUCCUUGAGAAAUGAGCUCAGAUAUAAAACCCAUCAAGCUUAAGACAUUACUUGUCUGUUAGAGAAGUUUCAAUGCAA